Centrocercus urophasianus (Greater sage-grouse) is the source of this 7379-nucleotide RNA transcript. It is a transcript of the gene named scaffold protein involved in DNA repair, with no coding region annotated. The transcript has 21 exons. The record is from RefSeq and is a predicted model, not a curated record. Lineage: Eukaryota; Metazoa; Chordata; Aves; Galliformes; Phasianidae.
CCCUGCCACGUGACCGGGGUUCGGGCCGCCCUGCCGGGGGCGAUGCCCAGUCGGAAGCGGAAGCGGUUUUGGAAUGCAGAGUGCGCGUCCUUCCCAGAUGAGACAACCCUACAGCUGAAAAAAUCAAGUCUCAGGGCAUCAGUGGCUGCAGCUUCCAUUUCCAGUGCGUGGCUUAGGUGUGGGGAUGGCUUUGAAAGUACUUCUAUGCUCGAGUCACUGAGAUCUGCUGAUAAUAAAUCUAAGACUAAGAAGCACCUUGGACCACUCUUAACAACUGCUGAAAGCCCAGUUGGAUCUGCUGCUGAAAGCUCUAAGGAAGUUGAAGACAUAAUUUGGACCUCUAGUGGCAGUGAUUUUUCAGAUAAUGAAAAUAAAACAUCGAUUUCAAGGUUACACAGCAAAAAAAGUCUCACUUGCAAAGCAGAGAAGUCACAGGGCAGGCAUUUUUUGUUAGAGGACAGAAGUGAUGAAGAUGAAUCAGAGUUUAUUGACUGGGGGAAGGAUAGUGAUUCUGCAGAUGAAUGUAAUGAAUCUGAGAAAGAUGACAGCUCACUGGAGAUAUCGGACACUGACUCCUGCACAAAUCUUAAUUCUCUACCUGGCCAAGAGGAGAAUGAUGAGCUUUGUAAGUUGGCAGAAAUUUCUGAAUAUUCAUCUGACAAUGACUAUGUGGAAGAAGUGGACACACAGCCCACUGAUCCAGGAUUCAUUAAGAAAUUGCAGUUGAGUGUGGGAGAAGCUGCAGCAAGACCUGCCAGCGAUUGGCUCAAGUCUGCACAGGCCCUUCUACAAACACCUAAGAAACAGUCAGGCAAGGCCUCAAGAACCCCGGAAGAUUCUGCUAAAAAAAGGAAAUUACUGAGGGGAGGGCUGGCUGAGAGAUUGUGUCGACUGCAGAACAGAGAAAGAUCUGCUAUUAGCUUUUGGAGACAUCAGUGCAUUUCAGAUGCUAAAAUCCCAUCAGAUAAAUCUGGUGUUUUAAUUGUGAAGAUCUUAGAAAUGUUUGAGGAGUGUAUGAUACAAGUUGCCAUCUGCCAGCAGCUGGAAGAGUCUCCUGCUAUCAUUUCAUCCGAAGACCUUGUCAUCAGUACAAGAGAACCGAUAAUCAAAGUCCUUUUUGCAAGAGAGACAGCAGCUCACCUGAAGAGUAGGCCACAGGAUGUCAUCCACAUCUAUCCCCCAUGGCACAUUAAAAAUGAUGCACCUGUAGCUGCCAUUCUUUGGGAAGGAUAUAUAUAUACACAUAGAAAACACUUCCUUUUGGCCAUCCACCUGGAUACAGAAUUGCAAAAACUACUUCUCAAGAAUGCAGAUAUUCCUGUUAUCAUGAAUACAUAUUUCAGUCAGAAGGUAUUACUCAGUGAACACUUAGAAACAAGCAAGACACAGGGUCCUACAAAGAUGCUUAUUAGAAAGAAUAUUGUAUCUUUGUCACAGACAUUCAAACUAGAUGACCUUGACAAGCAACCCCAGGAAUCUUCAAAUGAUCAGGUGGCUUGUACUCCACAAAUCCAUAACACCUGUGAUCCUAAAAAGCAUCACUUAGCACUGGGUGCUGUUAAUGAUUCUCUGCUUGAAAUGGUGGAAAGCCAAGGAGCAGUGGGAUGGAGAGAAGUGCAGGUACGAGUCGUUAUCCAAAGGGUGUACUAUUUGCCUGCAAGAGAAGGUUUCAGAAGCCAGAUUCAAGGAAACAAGCCUGUCUGUGCUACACCCAUCAUAAAUUCAGAUCCACCAAAUGUUAGGUUAUGCCUCCUUGUCCAGGAUGCUUAUGGCAUGUUCAGUGAAGUACAGCUACAGUGUCUGGAUUCUGCAAAAGACCUUGAGCAGUACUGCAAGAGAUGGGAGGGAAAAUUCUGCUGUUUAGCUGGAAUGAAAAUUUUGCAAAGAACGACAAGAGGAAGGGCGUUAGGACUUUUUAGUCUGAUAGACAGUUUGUGGCCUCCAGUAGUGCCUGUAAAAGUUCCUGGACAAAGUCAAGACUCUGAAAUGAUGACAACUAAUCUGCCUCCUCCCAGCUUCUGUUAUGUUCUGACUGUUCAGUCUGGUGAAAUACACAUGGAAGUGGAUGAGGAAGAGACGAUUUCUAAAUUGUACCAGCCACCAACUGUGCAUAAUCUAAAGGAAAUUCUUCAGAUGGGUGGUUGUCAUGAACGUUGUAGCUUUUGGGCACGAGUACUGUAUCUAAGGCCACAGACAAAACACAGUGUUCCUGUAAAUCAAAGAGAGAUGAUGUUGUUUGUGACUGACUUCACUUUGCAAAGUGUAGUUCGUGGAAUUCCAAAAGUUGUUGCUGUGUCAGUCACUGCAUCAUGUGUUCUCAGUACGGAAAUCAUAGAAGCCCUCAAUGUUGCCUCACGAUUCAUCUUCUUCAAGGAUGCCCUGUGGGGAAAUGGUAGGAUUAUUUGUGUUGAACGUACUGUUCUCUUAUUACAAAAGCCUCUUUUGUGCUCGGCUGCUGAUGCUGACCUCAGUGAGCUGCCUGGCCCUGUCAAACUCGAUGAGCUGGAUUCUACCACACAGGCCAAUUCCAUUUGUGCUGUGAGAGGUACUGUUGUUGGAGUUAAUGAGAGCACUGCUUUCUCCUGGCCUACAUGUGACAGAUGUGGCAAUGGAAAGUUGGAACUGUAUCCCCAGGACAGUGGACUGCUGUAUUGCAGCCAGUGCUCUGAAGUUGUCAUUUCACCCGUUAUGAAAAUGCAGCUGGAAGUCUUCUUGAGUUGUCCAUCCCAAUCUCAAAGUACAGUAAAAGUAAAGCUGCUACAAAGAACAAUCUCUUCUCUCCUGAUGUCUGCUGCCAAUGUGGAUGGGGUAGGUAUAGUGGUUGUCGAUGAGAGUUAAACUACAUAGAGUGGCAGAGUCCUGAAGAUGCUGUGAGUCAAAAGGGAAGAUAUUUGAAUCAUAGAAAUGGAAGGGAUGCUGGAGGUUGGCUGGAUGUGGCUCUGGGCAUCCUGGUCUAGAGGUUGGUGACCCUGCCCAUGGCAGGGGGGUUGAAACUAGGUGAUCUUUAUGGUCCUUUUCAACCCAGGCCAUUUUAUGAUUCCGUGGUUGGUGUCUGACCUGCCCCUCACACUGGGCUAUUGCCAACACAUGGUCAGGUCAAUCGUGACUUCGUCUGGCAGGGUCUUGAAGACAUCCAAAGAUAGAGGUCCCACCACCUUUCCAGGCAGCUCUUCUCAGAACUGCACUGAAAGCAGUAGGAGAUUUCGUUAGAAAUAUUUUUCCUCUUCUGUUCAGCCUGGUCCGAGUGGUUUGAAGUGUGUUAGUGUGCUCCUAGCACAAACCUCCCCUUUGGCAAUUGCACCUUGCACCUGCUGAUGCCCUGCUAUUGCAUCUCAGGGGUGCUGCAGGCAGGAUGUGUAGACAGCUUUAGCUUAGAUGUGGAUGCACAGCUACUUGCAAUAGCAGUGUCCAGACAUUCAGAGCUACAGUGGGCAGUGCCAGGCUUUAGAGUCCACGGACAGUGAAGCUACAGUCUGAGCAUUCUACCUUUCCUGGCUUCUGAACCCUAUAAAAACAACCAAGGCACAAACACAAAAUUACUGAGGGGCAGUAAUGCUACAGCAAAUUGCAAAAUGCAUGCAAAGUAAUACUUUGUAAUUGGGAUCUAUAUAAAUGAAAUACACGUAAGUCGCUGGGAUGCAUGGGCUAAAGUGCAGCUUAUGUAACCAUGAAGUAGUUACUCCUUAUUCUGGGCUAUCAGAAGAACCCUGACAUUUGGCACAGUGACCCAGAUUUAUCGCAGGUAAGUGAGGCACUGAAGGCAGGUGUGUGGCUGCCAUUGGCUGCCAGCUGAUCAGUAGAGAAGGAGCGGCACCUUCAGAAAGUGAUAAAGUGCUGGUAGGAGCUGGAGACCCCUCUUCCCAUUGCACGUGGAAGGGGGCAAGGGUCAGCUUGUCUUUUUGGUUAAUCAUCCUCGCAGGUGCUCUGGCUCUCAGGCAGCCUACCUGAGACCAUAAUCAGGAAUAAGAUACUCAGAAAAGACAGCUGAAGAAGAACAUCUGCUUCUAGACACUGUCGUAAAGAGGUGAGCAAACUUGUGGAAGCAUUCCUGUACUCUACUAGCAUUUUAUUAGCACUAAAGUCCUCCUGCAGAACAUCUCAUGUUAGGCAAAGCAGUCUAACACACGAGCAAAAAAUAGGUCUAGGCAGCAUACUAUAAAAGUAGAUUACUUUUUCUUGGCUGUCCUACAAUUGUGUGUAUGUAUGCAUGGUCUGUAUACUUUACAUGCAGUUGUCCUAAAACUUACUUGUACAUAGCAGCGUAUCGAGAUAAGCCUUGUGCCUUCCCACCCAUUUUGGACAGCCAAUCAUUAUAGGCAGCACGAGGUCCUUUUCGGCUGUGGAUAUAGGAAGGAAAAAAAGCAAAAAUGAUAAGGUUGAUUUCUCUGCAUUAUCUUACCAAUUCUGUACCUGAAUAUCUGCAGAUUGAGCGUGUACUGCUACAAGCCAGGGGAUAUAGCAUGGGAACUGUAACCUGUAUUAAUUCUAUCCUUGCUAUGAAAAUGAUGCACAUGCAGUCAGUGCACGUGUUGAUCCAUCCAUCUCUUUCCCCACAGGUUCUAAAUGCAUUUCAGUCAUAUUUAAUGGAAGAUUAGGCAUUAAUGUCUCAAAGACAUCGAUUUCCAACAGGUGCCCUAAAAAUCAGAAGCUGCCUUGAGAACAAAGACCUAAAAUAACCUCUCCAGGGAAGAAAAAAUGUUUUUUCCAUGAUGUCUUAUCCACCUGAGAGGCAUUAUGCUGCCUGCCCCAUAACACUGUUUUUUGUCCAUCCAAGCAGAUAAGGAGUGCAGAAGGCAGUCUGUUAUCUUUUCAGCAUGUACAGGAGGGAAGGAAAGGGAACUUGGAGGACUUAAGUAUUAAUCCAGACUUCAUUAGUUACACUACCUACAACUUUUUUUUCCCCUCUCAUCUUAUCUGCAUACAUUAUUAUGCUAGCCAUUAAACUGCUGUAGAACUGGUCUGUUUUACAGAAACAGCAACUGAGUUGAACAGCCAUCUGUUCUCCCUCCAGAACAAUAAGGUUGAACUAGAUGAGCUCAGUAGUCUUUUCCAACCAUCAGCCCAUCACCAUCAUGCCCACUAAACCUGCUAGCCAUAUUCUGAGGUAUAGAGAUCCUUUUCAUUUAAGAAAUAUUUGUCAUUUAUAGACUGAGUAGCCCAUCACUAUGGACAAAAGACUUGAAAACUUCAGGCAUUUAUUCACCCUCGCUCCAACUGAAAUACUGCCUGUAAGAAUUUCAGAGUCCUCCUUUAGGAGUGCUGCUGUUCAUCCACAGCUCAGUGCAAGUGUCCUAACUGAUUCAGCUGAAGAGUUUCAAGUCCAUUCACAAUAACAAAACUCUGUGUGUGAUAAAUCAUCAACUGUUUUUAGAAAGAUACGGAUAAUCUACAUUUAGAGUAUUAGAAACCUCCCCUCAUGAGAAGCUUCCAAGCAAGUCCUCUUCCUCUUUCAGUAAUUGAAGUGGGAUCAACAUUAACGCUGUUGCUCACUGAAACAAACUAGAUACCAGUGAUGAGGGAACUGUAGUCAUUCCUAAAGGCUCAGUCAAAAAUCAACUGUAGAAACAAAGGCUCUUUGCAGUCCAACCUGCACACUGGAACUUCCUCCAGUAAGAAGGAGAACUAGUAAAAAUAAUUGAUGACAACUCUUGGACAGGCCCAAACAGAGAGCAUGCACUAAGGAAAGAAGUCAGUAAAUGAAACCACGUUUCUAAAUUCCAGGACAGAAAUUGAAUAUAUAGAAACUUCCAGGCUGACAUGCUAAAAUCAACCCAUUUUACAAAUAUUCAUCCCUUGAUUACAAGGAGACAUAAAGCUCACUUAUUCACAUCCAGCCUUUGUACACAGCCAGAGACAAUGUUCUUUCACAGCUGUGUUUUGCAUAUCUGCCAAUUUCCUCCAUCCUGGACUCACUGCUGAAUGCAGCCUCUGAACAGGUCUGUCUCUGCUCCCCCAUCUCCUCUCCUCCCCUUUGCUGACCGACGUCCAUUUCCUGCCCGAUCAAAUCAGGAGAUCAAAAUCCUUCGCUUGUAAAAAAUCAAUCUGCUGAUAAGGAAAUGGUGAUGAUAACGACGUCACACACGAUUAUAAGCCUCUUGUUUAAACAAGCUGGGUGGAGGAUAUUCCAGGUACAGCGGUACUCAUUAAACAAACAGUUGCUAAUUACUAAUUUGGGUCAGGAAGUACAGAGUGCCUCCUUGCUUAUAGGUACUUUUUUUUCUUUUCUUUAAAUAAAGGAAACAAGAGGCCACAAGAUGGUCAGUAUCACAAUGAAUCCAUUAGCAGGAAUCCCUUUAGAAGAGACAGCAAAGCCAAACAUCACCUGUUAUAGUUGGUGUCUUCCUCUUCAGUCAUGCUGUUCCUCAGGAAUUCUUUCAAAGUACAGGUAUUUUCCAGCCACUUGAUGAGUCCCAGCCUGGAACAAAAGUAAUCAGAGACAUGAACAAGUAGCUUAGAGUCAGAACAACACAGAAUUGGAAGCAAUGCAUUCUAGUGUCUGCUAAAAGACCGAAGAAAGCUGCCAAUUUAAAUAUACUCUGAGAUACAGUUUCCAGACAAAGCAGUUUCAAAAGGAAAAAAAUAAAUACAAAAGCAAGCCAAGACCCAAAACACUCCUGAACCAGAAUCUGGCACACAAAGACCGUACUUUCCAACAUUGCAACAACAGAUGUUAUUAUAAGAAUUUCUGCCCCUUCAAGAUAAAAUCCUACCUUGUGGUCAUGGGGAUGACCUGGUAAGUUUUCAACUGCAUAUUCCUUUGGCUGCAGGCAGCGUCUCGGGAAAGGACGAUGUUCAUGACAUCAAACAGCUGCUCAACGCGUUGGUCUUGUCGCAGGUCUUCUCCACCUUUGACAAGAAAAGGAUGCUCCUGCUCAUCGCUGCCUCGGAUUGUUAUGCGCUUGGGUUUCCUCAAGGAUUCCAAUACCAUUAUCUUGGAAGACAGGAAAAAACAAGUAUUUGUGACACAAGAUUUGGUCUGACAGAAUCACUACUGAAAUUAAGCCUCUCUGGCGUUCCCAGAUGGCACAAUGAAGUUGCUCAAUUACUACUCAAAGACUGAAGAAAGUUCUGCAAAACAGCAUUUAAGUGCUCCUCGAUGUGUACACAGCAACCACCUUUCUAUUGUCAAAUUCUGCAGACCGAAUAGGGCCACAGGUGCACAACACCAGAACUGGAACUCAAGCUCACCAACAUACCCGUUCAUCAAACCCAGAGAUCUUCACAUGGUACUCUGGCAGAGGUUUUCCCUUCCCAUCGUACUGACCUGUGGGGGGGUGGGGAUGAGGAAAGGAAAAAUUGACACGGUUUGAUUUUCAAUAUUAACAGCAGUAUUUUUUAAAGUGUGUUUAAUAAUAGAAAAAAACUCUUCUAAAUAUUUU